This 434-nucleotide ribosomal RNA is filed under the name uncultured bacterium. RNAcentral describes it as "partial 16S ribosomal RNA". It matches the Rfam family "Bacterial small subunit ribosomal RNA", at positions 29 to 507 of the family's 1533-position model. The record is from RNAcentral.
AGCGAACGCUGGCGGCAGGCCUAACACAUGCAAGUCGAACGAACCUUUCGGGGUUAGUGGCGGACGGGUGAGUAACCCGUGGGAACGUGCCUUUAGGUUCGGAAUAACUCAGGGAAACUUGUGCUAAUACCGAAUGUGCCCUUCGGGGGAAAGAUUUAUCGCAUUUAGAGCGGCCCGCGUCAGAUUAGCUAGUUGGUUGAGGUAAUGGCUCACCAAGGCGACGAUCAGUAGCUGGUCUGAGAGGAUGAUCAGCCACACUGGGACUGAGACACGGCCCAAACUCCUACGGGAGGCAGCAGUGGGGAAUCUUGCGCAAUGGGCGAAAGCCUGACGCAGCCAUGCCGCGUGAAUGAUGAAGGUCUGAGGAUUGUAAAAUUCUUUCAACUGGGACGAUAAUGACGGUACCCGGAGAAGAAGCCCCGGCUAACUUCGUG